This 4890-nucleotide long non-coding RNA is filed under the name Zea mays. RNAcentral describes it as "long non-coding RNA (ZMAY_LNC001657)". Lineage: Eukaryota; Viridiplantae; Streptophyta; Magnoliopsida; Poales; Poaceae. The record is from RNAcentral.
UUGCCCCUUUCGGGUAAGGUAGUCCUCCACUAGCUUUCCUAAUUAAUCAGCCAAGGGCGUCCAUAAACCCUUGUGGUAGCACUGUUUUCCCGGUGGUCGCUCCAUGUUCCAAUUAACAUAAUGAUCUUAUCAUGGACAGUGAUAAUAAACAGAUAAUAAAAGUGUGAUCAUGAAUAAUGUAUCUUCAUACCCAAAACCAUAUAAAGCACUAGCAAGUACUACCCAAAAAGUUCAGUGGUAAACAAGGUAUAAAGAUAGACAAACUAGGGUAACCUAUUGGGUCCCAUCAAAAUUAACCUAUGCAGAUCAUUAUGAUUAAUCAGAACAUGGCUGGGUAAAAAGAAGUGAUCAAGGGCACAACUUGCCUGGCACUUGAGAUUCUAGUUACCAGGGUGAUUCUUCAAAUCCUCGUGACCGCACUGCUAGUCGUAGCAAUACAAACAGAUAUGGUAUAGAAAAAAUUAACAUCACACCAAUCAUAAGUACAAACUGAAUAAUAAUGAUCUACGCGAUGAUACGAGAUCGUAGAUUCAAGAACCACUAGAUUCGGAGCUACGGUUAUAAAGUUAUGAUUUUCUAAAGGUUUAGGAGUCGGAUACAAAAGAAAUCAAGUGCAUAAUUUUAAUUUAUGUUUCAUAGCAAAAUAAAGUUACCGGUUAUAAACAAUAUUAUUAUGGAUUUAUUGCAACUGGAAUGCAUUAUGUUGGAGUUAAAAUAUAUUAAUUAUGCAUUUACUAAAAAAUUUUUCUAGAUUUAUUUUCACAUUUAAACCAUUUUCUAGGUUUAUCCUAAAAGAAUAUCACAUUCUUGGGCUGCGGGUAAAACUACAGAGAAGUUCAGGACUAAAUUAAUUAAAUCUAGGACCUAAAUGUAUUAAUCUUUACGCCCUACAUGGACAGCGGGUUAGUUUCGCUAUUUUUCAUGGACUCUUGGAAAACCGGCUUGCUGCUAAAAUCACGAGGAUAUUCCAAGCCGUCCGAUUCACAACCAGCGAUCUGGAUUAGAAGACCCACGUGCCGAACAGGUACACAACGCCUGCCUUUGGAUCAUAGAUCGAUGGUCCGAAAUCCAUCGUGAACUACUGUAUUACUAGCCAUCCGAUAUAAAUCCCACGGUGACUGCCCCGCCUUCGACCUCACCACCAACAGCACGCAAACAAAACUCGCACUCCUUCUCUAUCGUCUGCUAAACCUAGAGCGACGGCUGACUCAGCGGCAUCCUGCCCGGCUACGGUACCGCGCCAGCGCUCCAGGCCAUUAGCCUAUGCUCGAAAAGCAGAGGAAGAUAUCCCGCCAGAGGAGAUGCUCACCGCUGAUGAAGCGAACUGGUUGACGACGAUGCGUAGGCCCACGUCGAGGUGCAGGCACAACGGUCACAGCGAGCUCCGGCACCUGUGGCCACCACCGGUGGAGGGAAGAUCCACGCGCCAGAUGCCUGAUCUCGUGCUGGCGCAUGCGCAAGCAGUCUCCCUCGCAAAUUCCCUAGAAGGCGAGCGAUGCGUGGAACUCAGCUCCUACCCGGGCAUCCUUGCGGCAAUGGUGAGGGGCGGUUAUGGGGAGGAGUAGUUUUAUACCCAGAGCUGGGAUCCGAUCGGCUAGCGCCGAGCUGGCACAUGGGAAAGAUUUGUUCCAAGUUUGUUGCGAUGAAACUGGAAUGGAUAUCUACUGAGGCGGCGCUAGGAUCUCCUCUACGGUCGGCCAUACGGUUGCCAUACCAGAAGGGCCCAACUGCUAGUGAGUACGGGGUUUCACAACUGACCUCAUCCCUGACGCCACGAUGACGUCAGCACGACGGAAAUGAAUAAAGAAUGCGGUGUACGUGGGUGGUUCUGCGUGAGUGAGGUGACCGACGUGACUCUGGCUUAGACUACGGUUAUCGCUAAUUAUCAUUUAAAUAUUCCUAAGGUUUUAGCUUUUGAUUUAAAUUUUCUUUUCUAGUUUGGGUUCACGCCAUUUAAUGCAACAGUCAAAAAGUCUCGGCAUGUGCUACCCAUUUGAUUCAUAGUUUAUGUAAUUACUACUUAUUUUAAUUGAGUACGGAUCUUAUGGUUAUUCGUAGAAUAAAUGUCGAGUCACAUAACAAAUUACCCAACUUAUGAAUCUGCUACGCUCACAAAAUGAAAAUUACUCUUUUGAAUGUAUAGUACAUUUAAAGUUUGGUUCAUAUUUAUCCAAAGAGGGGACUGUGCAGUGUAUAAUUGUUACCAAGGUAUCUUUUUAACUUAAUUCUUUUGGGGAAAUAUUUCUAACCAUAUGAUUCAACAAAGGUGGGUUUUAAUCAUAUAGGAUCGUUUAUUUAAUCUCUUAUUAUAAAAGACUUUAUUCAAACCUGGGAAUACAAAUUCCUAAAUCUCAAUGUAGGAUUUUGGGCUUUACAAAUCCUACCCCCCUUAAAAAUAAUCUCGUCCUCGAGAUUUGUAAGAAAAGAGAUGCAGAAGGAUUGGUUUGUAAUUCAGCUUUUAGUCUAUCGUCAUUCCAAAAGUCGAGAGUCUCAAAAAAAUUCUUUGUGGGUGAUUAGAAGAGCAUAGGUAUAUGUAGGUAUAGCCACGUUAUUAUAUAGGCUAAAAGAGGGGUAGUUUAGAGCAAGAAUAGCCUCAGGUAAGAAAGUUUAUGGUGGGAAAGAACUCCGUGUUGAGUGGUAAGGCAUCUGAAGAUUGAGUUUGACUUCUCUCCUUCCUUGACGAGGUUGAUCUUGUCCUUUUUUUCUUGGUCUCAUUGAUUCGAGGUUAGUGUACAUCAUCAGAGUUACCGGAGUAUGGUUGAAGAUAGAUAUGGGUGAGAUGGACUACAUGAUGUAGGUUAAAGUUUGUUUGAUGUUAGGUGGGGAUAGACAGAUUAUGCAAUUCUUCAUGACUCUAUUGGUUGGGUAAGUUAUGUAACUUGUUAUAUAGGUCAAGUUGUUGUGUAUGGCCAAGUCGAUCUAAGUCACCAAUUUAGGCUUAAGUGAAUUAGGAGUAUGGCCAUAUCCUUUGUACUAGCAUUAAGUAACUUACUCUAGAUUAGAUCAUGAUAGAUUAGAUAGAAUCCAGAUUAGGUUGGUACAACUAGAUUAAACUAGUUAUGAUCUCAUUAUUUUGGAUUAGGUCCUGGUGGUUACUUUAGGAUCAGAUAAAUAUAGUGGUUAGGAUAAAACGAAUCUUUCAUGAUGAGAUGAAUUCAUUAAGAUAAGAGAGAAUCUUUUAAGAUAAGAUGGAUCUACUAAAAUAUGAUAGAUCUUUUUAAGAUGAGAUGGAUAUUGUUAGGCUAGAUACUUUAUUGAGGGAUAAUCUAGUUUGUCUAGUUAGUUUUAUAAGCAUUAUGUAUAUGCAGAUGUAAUUGUGGAUAUUACUCCACAACUCAUCACACUCAAUCAAAGAUCCAAAUCAGACAUGUAUCAUAAGAACAAAACAUUCAAAUUCAUAGAUAUCUAUAAAAAUAGUUUUAUUUUUGUUCCUAAGAGUAGGUCUCCUAUUCCAAAAAUUCACUUUAACCACAGGAUUCCAAAGUGUGAAAUCCAAGUUUGUCUUUAGAAGUGAAAAGGUAAGAAUAAUCAGAGUAAAGCGGAAAUAGAUGAGAAAAGAUUAAGAAAAGUUUAGAAAAGAAUCAGAGUAGCAAAGGUAAGUAGACAAUGGUUGUCCAGUUCUAUCUAGGUUUCGUCCUACAGUCAACAUUCCUCUGAUACCACUUCUGUCACACCCGGGUUUUAGGGCACCAAGACCCGGGCGCGAACAUAAUCACCAGGUGCGCUGGGACCAAGUCUCACACAUAUGAUGAAUCAUGGCACAGGAUCGAAUGUCACAUAUUUACUACAUAACAGGAGUUCUAUACAAAAUAAAUAAAUAAUUACAUUAUAAGGAGACAACGGUCCAGCAACCCAAAGUUGACUGGGAGACGACGACCUAGACCUCUCAUGAACUCGUCACAGCAUCCUCCAUGCGCCUCAUCUUGUGGUACCUGUUCUUGACCUGUGGGGGGGUGUGAGACAGCAAGAGUGAGCUCACAUACGUUCAUCGCUCAACAAGUUGUGGGGAAUAAUGUGCAUGAACUCGCCAAAGGUGGGAGCUCACGUGAAGUGUAAGGCUUACCAAAGAGGAUGGUUAGAGUUGAGCAUUGCUUUUAAAGUUGGUCAAAAUUUUAUUAGCAGUUACUAAGUAUAAGUAAAUACCAACCCAAUUAAGAAAAGUAAUAACAUCACCUGCGAUGCAAUGCAUAUGACAAAUUGAAUUUAGUUCCAUAAAUUAAUCAUGUGAGGGUCCGAGCUGCUCAUGACCGUGAGCACGGCUAGUAUACCAGUUUUACACUCUGCAGAGGUUGCACAUCUUUACCCACAAGUCAUGUUACCCAUCUGCCAAGGGAUCGCGACUUCCCAUACACCUCUACCGAGGAGGCGAGGCAGGGUAACACUACGAGGCCUUUACAAAGUUCCACUAGCUUUAGAAAACCCGCUACAGUUUAUAGGAAGCUCCAAUGCAGGGUUCUUGCCUGACCGCCAUCGCAGCAAAAUCAACCAAGGACCUCCCUACACUGACCACUCCCCUACUGCCCUUGCCCCUUUCGGGUAAGGUAGUCCUCCACUAGCUUUCCUAAUUAAUCAGCCAAGGGCGUCCAUAAACCCUUGUGGUAGCACUGUUUUCCCGGGUGGUCGCUCCAUGUUCCAAUUAACAUAAUGAUCUUAUCAUGGACAGUGAUAAUAAAUAGAUAAUAAAAGUGUGAUCAUGAAUAAUGUAUCUUCAUACCCAAAACAAUAUAAAGCACUAGCAAGUACUACCCAAAAAGUUCAGUGGUAAACAAGGUAUAAAGAUAGACAAACUAGGGUAACCUAUUGGGUCCCAUCAAAAUUAACCUAUGCAGAUCAUUAUGAUUAAUCAGAACAUGGCUGGGUAAAAAGAAGUGAUCAAGGGCACAACUUGCC